Molecule: ribosomal RNA, 581 nt
Filed under: uncultured bacterium
Lineage: Bacteria
Description: bacterial SSU rRNA
Rfam family: Bacterial small subunit ribosomal RNA
Source: RNAcentral
CAUGCAAGUCGAACGGGAAACAUUUCAUUGAGGCUUCGGCGGAUUUGGUCUGUUUCUAGUGGCGGACGGGUGAGUAACGCGUGGGUAACCUGCCUUAUACUGGGGGAUAACAGCCAGAAAUGGCUGCUAAUACCGCAUAAGCGCACGGGACCGCAUGGUCCUGUGUGAAAAACUCCGGUGGUAUAAGAUGGACCCGCGUUGGAUUAGCUAGUUGGCAGGGCAGCGGCCUACCAAGGCGACGAUCCAUAGCCGGCCUGAGAGGGUGAACGGCCACAUUGGGACUGAGACACGGCCCAGACUCCUACGGGAGGCAGCAGUGGGGAAUAUUGCACAAUGGGGGAAACCCUGAUGCAGCGACGCCGCGUGAAGGAAGAAGUAUCUCGGUAUGUAAACUUCUAUCAGCAGGGAAGAUAAUGACGGUACCUGACUAAGAAGCCCCGGCUAACUACGUGCCAGCAGCCGCGGUAAUACGUAGGGGGCGAGCGUUAUCCGGAUUUACUGGGUGUAAAGGGAGCGUAGACGGCGUAUCAAGUCUGAUGUGAAAGGCAGGGGCUUAACCCCUGGACUGCAUUGGAAACUGG